UGUCAUUCUUACACGAGGAUGAAUUCAUUACGAGAGCAGAUCUUAACCGUGUGUUGGACAAAGGCCAUGCCAUGCAUUCAGAUGCCAGAAAGAGGUUUGUGAACAGCGUGUUUCUAGCCUGCGAUGAGCUUCCCUCAGUGGUCACCAGCCGCACACACAAGUAUCAAGUGGACAUGUCUCAGUUUGCUCUUUACGGCGCAUUUGAUGGUACAGAUCAUCUUCCGAGCCUUGAACAGGGACUACAGUGUUUGGUUUCAGCGGUUCGCUAUGCUUUGCUAGUCAUGGGAGGAAACGUCAUUGCAGUUUGCAGGCUGACUUCAGGACUUGGAUGAGAAAAGGAUUUAUGCCAAUCCUGAGGUAACUGCAGCGCUCCAAACCAUGAGACAAGCCAGCGUUGAGGAAAUGAUGCCUCUUCUUCAGAGUCUCACCUCCAA
Molecule: long non-coding RNA, 434 nt
Organism: Oreochromis aureus
Lineage: Eukaryota; Metazoa; Chordata; Actinopteri; Cichliformes; Cichlidae
Exons: 3
Source: RefSeq, a predicted model, not a curated record